RNAcentral lists this long non-coding RNA (221 nucleotides) under Nicotiana benthamiana. RNAcentral's name for it is "long non-coding RNA (NBEN_LNC038636)". The record is from RNAcentral. Lineage: Eukaryota; Viridiplantae; Streptophyta; Magnoliopsida; Solanales; Solanaceae.
CCUCACCCUCGCCUCGAUCACCCGCUCCCAGACCUUCAUGGUGUGACUUAUUAAUUUAAUACCCCUAUAGUUGUUGCAGCACUGGAUGUCUCCCUCACCCUCACCCUCGCCUCGAUCACCCGCUCCCAGUCCUUCAUGGUGUGAUUUAUUAAUUUGAUACCCCUAUAGUUGUUGCAACACUGGAUGUCACCUUUGUUCUUGUACAAGGGCACCACUGUACU